This 253-nucleotide ribosomal RNA is filed under the name uncultured bacterium. RNAcentral describes it as "partial 16S ribosomal RNA". It matches the Rfam family "Bacterial small subunit ribosomal RNA", at positions 524 to 776 of the family's 1533-position model. The record is from RNAcentral.
UACGGAGGGUGCAAGCGUUAUCCGGAUUCACUGGGUUUAAAGGGCGCGUAGGUGGGCUGGUAAGUCAGUGGUGAAAUCUCCGAGCUUAACUUGGAAACUGCCAUUGAUACUAUUAGUCUUGAAUAUUGUGGAGGUCAGCGGAAUAUGUCAUGUAGCGGUGAAAUGCUUAGAGAUGACAUAGAACACCAAUUGCGAAGGCAGCUGGCUACGCAUAUAUUGACACUGAGGCUCGAAAGCGUGGGGAUCAAACAGG